UUUAUUUUUAAAUUUUUAUCUAGAUGUAAAUAUGGUAAAAAGUUUGCAGUAUAAUUUUGGUAAAAUGGUGGAGUAGUGGGAAUUGAAAUGAAACGGUUGGUUGGGAUUAGGAGGGAGGCAAGAAGAGAAAUGAAAUUGGUGUUAGAAUUAGAAUAGCAAUAAGAUGGAAGUAAAAGAAUAGAAUCCUCCAAUAAUGAAUGUGAGGUUGUUGUUGGCGCCACGAAUUUCCCGUUGAUGCGAUACGAGGAAACAUAUGGCAUCUCUCUAUCUCCAUUCCAUUGGGAGAAGGGAGAAAGGAGGGAGGGAAAACACAACAAAAGAAUUCAGUAAUAUCAAUUUAAUCUCUCUAUUUGUUUCUAGUAAUAAUAAUAACAAUAAUGCCGUGGUUUUCGUAUUCUUCCUACUUGGCGUCCGUCCUCGUUCUCUCAUUCGUCUUCGUUGCAGCAGAUGCCUAUGACAACAAUGCCUCCUGCAAUCACGACAUGCAAUUGGUGAAGGUGAAGAACUGGGUUGAUGGCAAGGAAGGUGACAUGCUCAAUGGUAUGACCGCAACAUUUGGCUCUUUUUUGCCCGAGGAUGCCGAUCAAACUCACAAAGCUCCUCUUCUUUAUGCUAUUCCCAAUGACUGCUGUUCCCUUUCAACUUCAAAGUUAUCUGGAUCAGCUGCUGUUUGUGUUCGUGGUAACUGUGACUACACAACUAAAGCUGCAUUCGCACAGUCAGGGGGUGCUACUGCUGUCGUGAUGAUUAAUGACCAGCUCUAUCAGAUGGACUGCCCCGCUGAUUCUACUGAAAAGAUAAACAUUUCAAUUCCAGUCGUGGAAAUGACUGAGUCUGUUGCAGAUUCUCUCGUCAAUUUUUUGAAGUCUGGAAGGAGAGUGGAAGUUCUACUAUAUGCUCCAACUCGUCCAAUUAUAGACUACUCUGUUGGAGUUUUGUGGUUGAUGUCAGUUGGAACAGUUAUAUGCGCUUCAUUAUGGUCAGAUUUCACUGCUUCUGAUCAGUUUGAUGAACACUAUAAUGGAUUGUCUCCCAAGGGAUCUUCCAGUGCUGAAUUAGUGAAAGAUGAUUCUGAAAAUGAAAUUGUUAACAUAGAUGCAAAGGGUGCUGUCGUCUUUGUCAUUACGGCUUCUACUUUUCUUGUGCUACUGUUCUUCUUCAUGUCAUCUUGGUUUAUCUGGGUGCUGAUUAUACUUUUCUGCAUUGGUGGUAUUGAGGGGAUGCAUAAUUGUAUUGUAAGCCUCGUUUUAAGAAAACGGCCCAGUUAUGGUCAGAAGAUUGUGAAUUUACCUCUGUUCGGAGAAGUUUCUGUAUUCUCACUAGCAGUGUUACUAUUUUCUGCGGCAUUUGCGGUAUUAUGGGUUGCUACUCGACGGGAAUCAUUUUCGUGGUUUGGCCAAGAUGUUCUUGGUAUUUGUUUAAUGAUUACAGUAUUGCAAUUGGCUCGCUUGCCUAAUAUUAAGGUUGCAACUGUACUCCUUUGUUGUGCAUUUGUAUAUGACAUCUUUUGGGUAUUCAUAUCUCCGGUGAUAUUCCGCAAGAGUGUUAUGAUUACAGUUGCUCGUGGUGACAAGGCUGGUGGUGAAGCAAUUCCUAUGCUUUUGAGAUUUCCUCGUCCUUCUGAUCCUUGGGGUGGCUAUGAUAUGAUUGGAUUUGGAGACAUUCUCUUUCCUGGUUUGCUUGUUUCCUUUGCUCAUUCGACAAAGAUAAUAAGAAGGGGGUCUUUAGUGGAUAUUUUCUUUGGUUGGUAAUUGGCUAUGCCAUUGGCCUUUUCUUCACAUAUUUUGGGCUAUAUAUGAUGAACGGUCAUGGACAACCUGCACUUCUCUAUCUUGUUCCAUGUACACUAGGAGUGGCUGUGAUAUUGGGAUGCAUAAGAGGUGAACUGAAGUUUCUUUGGAGUUAUAAGGCAGACUCGUCUUCAUCGAGAGAGCCUUCUGAAGUUUGAACCAUCAGACUGUUCAAUGCAACUGGGAAAAAGAUCUCAGAUACAUUGAUAUAAAUGUAAUUAAUGGCAUGUGAUUUAUUCAGUGGUUAGGAAAAUACCAGGUGUACAGGCUACUUUUUCUUGGGCUUCCGUAAAUAUAUUUUGUAUUUAAUAAUUAAUUAAUUAAUGAAAAUGAAUGUUCUUUCUCUGCUGCUUCA
Molecule: non-coding RNA, 2145 nt
Organism: Cicer arietinum (chickpea)
Lineage: Eukaryota; Viridiplantae; Streptophyta; Magnoliopsida; Fabales; Fabaceae
Source: RefSeq, a predicted model, not a curated record